AUUACCGAGUUCAUGCCCUUACGGGUAGAUCUCCCACCCUUUGUAUACUAUACCUUUGUUGCUUUGGCGGGCCGCCUAGCUACUGGCUUCGGCUGGUAUGUGCCCGCCAGAGGACCCAAAACCCUGAAUUAUUAGUGUCGUCUGAGUAAAAUAUUUAAUAUUUAAAACUUUCAACAACGGAUCUCUUGGCUCUGGCAUCGAUGAAGAACGCAGCGAAAUGCGAUAAGUAAUGUGAAUUGCAGAAUUCAGUGAAUCAUCGAAUCUUUGAACGCACAUUGCGCCCCUUGGUAUUCCGAGGGGCAUGCCUAUUCGAGCGUCAUUAUCACCCCUCAAGCCUAGCUUGGUGUUGAGGCCUGCUGUCAAGGCAGCCUCUAAAAUCAGUGGCAGUGCUGUCAGGCUCUAAGCGUAGUAAAUCUAAUCGCUAUAGACACCUGGUGGACACUCGCCAGAACCCCCCCAUUUUUUAAUGAUUGACCUCGGAUUAGGUAGGGAUACCCGCUGAACUUAAGCAUAUCA
Molecule: ribosomal RNA, 516 nt
Filed under: Tetracladium furcatum
Lineage: Eukaryota; Fungi; Ascomycota; Leotiomycetes; Helotiales
Description: eukaryotic LSU rRNA
Rfam family: 5.8S ribosomal RNA (bases 166-319)
Source: RNAcentral